RNAcentral lists this long non-coding RNA (1183 nucleotides) under Homo sapiens (human). RNAcentral's name for it is "HSALNT0214605". The record is from RNAcentral. Lineage: Eukaryota; Metazoa; Chordata; Mammalia; Primates; Hominidae.
GGGCUAAGAGCUCAAACGAGUCACAAUAGGGAGGCUAGUGACCCCCAUCCAUUCCCAUGGCAUCGUUUGAAGGGCUCUGGAGCCAGCCGCCUGGGUUCGAAUCCUGACUGUCCCCCUCACCAGGCUCUGGGGAGGAAAGGGAGCCCAUGGCAGACCAGACCCCUGGCCGGCCAGGGUCCCCGGGGUCUGCGAGGAGGACGUUCAUGGGCGAGUGUGUGGUGGUGGGUGAACUGCGGCAGAACCCGAGAUUAACAGCUGGAACCCUCUCCUCUUGCAGAUGAGGAAACCAGGGAAAUCAAGGGUGUUUGAGUGACUGACCGAAAGUCACACAGCUAGGAAGUAAAGGAGCCAGGAUACAGGCCCAGAGCUCUGGUUUUAUCUGAAACCAAAACCAGAAGUUCCUCUUCCAGCUGCCCACCACCUCUCUGAGUAUCAGCCCUGCUAAUGACAAUGAUAACAUCAGCUCUGCAGCAUCGUUCUAAGCACUGUACGUUAAUGCGAUCAGUUAAUAAAAGCAUCUUGCCUUAAUUAAUUUACUCCUCUCAAUAACCCUUUGAGGUAGGUACAAUCUUUACUGCCAUUUGACAGAUGAGGCACAGGGAGGUUAAGGGAUUUGCCUAAGGUCACACCACUGGGAAGUGACAGAGGCAGGCUUUGAAUCUUCACACACUUGCUACCACACACUCACCAUUUUUGUAGUCAGGAUUUCAUAGGCUCAGGGUCCGAGGGGACUGGGGCAUGCCAGGGGGGUGGGAAGGUAGGAUGCAGAGCCGAAAUAGGAGACACUGGAGCUGGGACAGGAGCCCAGAGAGAAGAUGAGCAGCAGAGCAUGGUCUCCGGCAGCCUGCGUCCCUCCUUUCCAAGUCACGAUGCCAACCAGAAGCCCUAAUCGAGGGUGGUGCUGGAGAGGCUCUGGGAGGAGACCGGGAUGGUGGCGCAUAUGGCCGUGCCACCCUAGACCGCCCUUCAGGGAGGGUCCUGAUGGCCUGGCUUGGCUUUUCUGCAGAAGCAUCAGCUGGGGACAAGUAAGGGGUGGGGAGGGAAGCGAGAGGAGACGGAACUGCAGACUGGGCAGACUGGGUUCCCCAUUAGCCAGGCCAUAUGUCCAAAUGUGGACACAUAAGUGCGAGCAGGCACCAAGCCUGGCGAGCCCAGCUGCAGAACAGCAUGGGGAGAGCUCGCC